CCGCCCCCAGGGUGCGCAACAGCCACGUUAAGGAGGAUCCUGCGCCCGGCCCGCCUGGUGCGCACAGCCCCGCCCUGAACCCUGGGCAGCGCUGACACUGAGCUGGGCUGGUGCGAGACCUGGGGCGGGGCCACUGCACCCAGCACCCUGCCCUGACUGUAAAGUCAGGCGGCCUGCUCCUGUUCCGCCUCCUACCGGCCCGCCUGUUUUUUCGCCUGUGGCUUAGGAACUCCAGCCUCACCUGAUCUCCGAAUGGACCUCAGCUGCUCCUGCGCCACUGGUAAAGGAUGCCUGGUUUCGGGUCUUAGGAUCUUCAUUUUCAUACCACAGAAUAGAACAUCCCUGGGGCAGGAGGUGGCUCCUGCACCUGUGCCAGCUCCUGCAAAUGCAAAGAGUACAAAUGCACCUCCUGCAAGAAGAGUGAGUGUGGGGC
RNAcentral lists this long non-coding RNA (433 nucleotides) under Homo sapiens (human). Its description in RNAcentral is "non-protein coding lnc-MT1A-1:1". Lineage: Eukaryota; Metazoa; Chordata; Mammalia; Primates; Hominidae. The record is from RNAcentral.